CGGGUUGUAAAGCACCUUUAAUGGGGGAGGAGUAGGUGAGCCUUGAAUAGAGUUCAUUGAGGACGUUACCCAAGAAUAAGCACCGGCUAACUCUGUGC
This 98-nucleotide ribosomal RNA is filed under the name uncultured bacterium. Its description in RNAcentral is "partial 16S ribosomal RNA". The record is from RNAcentral.